This 75-nucleotide transfer RNA is filed under the name Cyanobacteria bacterium UBA12227. Its description in RNAcentral is "tRNA-Thr". It matches the Rfam family "tRNA". From Rfam's summary of the family: Transfer RNA (tRNA) molecules are approximately 80 nucleotides in length. RNAcentral also lists the same sequence under 2 other names. The record is from RNAcentral. Lineage: Bacteria; Bacillati; Cyanobacteriota.
GCAGGUGUGGUGCAAUGGCUAGCAUAGGAGUUUCGUAAUCUUCUGAUGCGAGUUCAAAUCUCGCCGCCUGCUUCA